UGGGGAAUAUUGCACAAUGGGCGGAAGCCUGAUGCAGCAACGCCGCGUGCGGGAUGACGGCCUUCGGGUUGUAAACCGCUUUCGCCUGUGACGAAGCGUGAGUGACGGUAAUGGGUAAAGAAGCACCGGCUAACUACGUGCCAGCAGCCGCGGUGAUACGUAGGGUGCGAGCGUUGUCCGGAUUUAUUGGGCGUAAAGGGCUCGUAGGUGGUUGAUCGCGUCGGAAGUGUAAUCUUGGGGCUUAACCCUGAGCGUGCUUUCGAUACGGGUUGACUUGAGGAAGGUAGGGGAGAAUGGAAUUCCUGGUGGAGCGGUGGAAUGCGCAGAUAGCAGGAGGAACACCAGUGGCGAAGGCGGUUCUCUGGGCCUUUCCUGACGCUGAGGAGCGAAAGCGUGGGGAGCGAACA
RNAcentral lists this ribosomal RNA (407 nucleotides) under uncultured bacterium. RNAcentral's name for it is "partial 16S ribosomal RNA". It matches the Rfam family "Bacterial small subunit ribosomal RNA", at positions 355 to 774 of the family's 1533-position model. The record is from RNAcentral.